Long non-coding RNA from Neopsephotus bourkii (Bourke's parrot), 6718 nucleotides. RefSeq lists it as uncharacterized. The record is from RefSeq and is a predicted model, not a curated record. The transcript has 2 exons. NCBI's taxonomy places the organism in Eukaryota, Metazoa, Chordata, Aves, Psittaciformes, Psittacidae.
UGCGGAGGCUUCUCCACUGGGAACUCUAGCACAAAGGCCAGAGAUCAAAAAGACACAAAAGCAAAGGGAUGAUUCCUCCAGCCAAGAUUAAGAGAUGUUUGUGAAAUACAGUGGAAAGGCUGCCCCUGCUCUUUCAGUGGAUAAAGGGAGGAGAGGAGUCUUUUAACAGCAGAAAAAAAACACAACAUACCAACAAACCUUAAUGCCAAAAUACUAUUUAUGGUGCAAUUACUCGCUCCUCAAGGAAAGAUGUUGACUGAGAAAAUUCUAUAUAUGUUGCAAACUGGAAAACACAGGGAGAUGUGAAAGAUACUUUUUAGAUAUAACUUCGUUGCUAUUGACAGGAGUUGUUUAUUAGCAAUAAGAUAAAAGUGUCUCAAACUAAGGCCUGGGAGACAAGGAUUUUGUAUGGCUGUUACGCCAGUGAUUGUUAAAUGUAAAAAUCAGCUCUUUAUAGUAGAUUAUAGGUCAAAGAACUUCUUUUAUUAUUUUCAUUACAGAGGAUGAAACUCAGAUGGCUUUCACAAAAGAAAGAAAAAAAAAGUGAGAAAAAAACACAUUUUAAAAUAGGCUCAGAAGAUGGGCUUUUCUGUAUAUGGAAUACUGUAGGCUUGGUGUCGUUCAAGUGCUUGUGCCUUUUCUCAUGCUCUCAGUGUCUCGUGCAGUACGUCCAAAGGCAGAUAGCGGAUUUGCAGGUGCAUGUUCCUUUAGUGAGAAUAGUCCUCGCAUCAACUAGUUCAUGCACAGCUGAGAAGUGCAUACACGGGGAGCUGUGCACUUGUAAAGGUGCAGAGCAGGAAAAAAACUAGCAAAGAUGAAGAUCAGUAUAUGAUGUGGUAGAAUAUUAUAAUUAGGGAACAGCUGUGAAUCUUUAGAGUAGGUAAGCUAUUUGUUAUGUAUUUGUUCGUGCUCAGGUAUUUUGUCACUCAACUCAUCAUGGAAAUUACUGCUGAAGGAAUUCCAACUGUAUUAGAAGUUAGCAUCUAUUCUUGCUUGUUUAGAAGCAGGAACAGUAUCCUGAUUUCAGAUGAAAUCGCUAUAGAGGCAUCCAUAUCUUAAGGCAUGAUCUGUAAGUGUAGCAUAUCAUAGCACAUCUGCUUUCUUCAAAGAUUCUCUCAAACAAGUUUGCAAAAUUUACUGAUCUUUUUCCUUACUUUCAUUUCCCUCCUGUGCUUGAGUCUCAGAUGCAAACCUCAGUGAGAGAAGACAAUGCUCAGGUUAUUUAACAGACUUUUUUUCUCAUGUCGUAGUACAAAACUGACAAAUUCCUUUGUCUAACACUUGGCUAUUCAGAUAACCUCUAUAGUUAGAGAAGGAAAUGCAAGUUAAAGAUGCAAAUACUGAAAGAAUUUUAUCAAGUGCAAAGCAGAAACAUUUUUAAAGAUAGCUGUCAUGUCUUGCUGCUCAACUGAUCUUACUUCGUCAUUCCCAAGUCCUGGUAUAUGCUCAGAACAACCUAGAAGUAAAUAUAUUUUGUUUCUGAGAUCAUUUCUGAAUCACAGAACAGGCAGUAACUGGGGGUGAUGUUGGAUUAACAAGCAAAGACCUAUCAUCCCACUGCAGUUCUUUAACAGGAUUGCAGUUCCUUCAAAUCAAUUCCCAUUGAUUCUCAAGGCCAGAGACUGUCCCCUGUAUAAUUUGUUUUACUUGUGGCAACAGAUAUUUGCCUGUCUAUUCUUUGAGUUGUCCAUUAUUAACAAGCUAAUGUUUAUUCUAACAAAUGAGCAUCACUGUAUUUUCCUGCAGGUACCAUUCCCAUGUAUAAGGAUGCUUCAACAGUGGAAGCUGGCUCUGUUCUUCCUCCCAUGCUUGCUUACCUGACUCUUUAAUGAAAUGCAUAACUUAACAAUUCUUAUUUCUCAUGCUGCAGAGCCAUGCAAAACACAGUUGGACUUCUGGAUUUGACCCACGGCAUUAACAAAUGGGAGAUACAUCUUCUCACUGUAAGCUGAGUGCAUUGGAAAUGGUACCCACUGGGAAGCAAUAAACACGGUUCCUAACCAUGCUGAUUUUAUAGUAAUUUUCCAGAGUGCAGCUGUGGUUUAAAACUUUGUGCAGGUCUCUGUAAUCUUCUUUUAUUAAAAAAUAAAAAAUAAAAAGGAAAAGAAAAAGAAAAAGAAAAAAUAAACCCAACUUUAAUUGUUCUUCCACAGUAAUUGUUCUCUUGAAAUUUGUGAUGUGCAAGAAGAAUGUCAGUUAAUUAACAUUCGACACUCCAAAUAGAUUCCUACAAAAACUAUUUAUAAACCCAGCAGCAAUUAAAAAGAACAUAUUUUCCAGUUACUACAGCAUACAUAUGUAUAUACUCAGAUAAAGCUAAUUUGUGCAUUCUUCCACCGUUCAUCUCUUAAGAUACAGAACUCAAAGUUCGUUUUCAGAUUGACUGGUGAAUUUGAUCUGUUUUGGGGAAAUGUGUACAUAAGUGCUUAUAGGCUAUUAGUAAAACUGGUGAGCCUUCAAAGCAAUUUUAUGUGAGGCAAAGGAUCCUAGAAGGCAGACUUGGUAUCAGUUGUGCUUGCAAAACCUUCUUGAAUGAUCUACAACAAAGCAAAAAAAUCAAACUAAAAGACAUUCUUAAAGGACUGAGAAAUUCUGCCUGGUGAAUAUGUCAUUAAGUUAUACUUACACCAGCACUCUGGACAGAAGCAUUUAUUAUACUGGGAUUUGCUUGGGUUACAGUCAGUUUAUAAUCAUAAAGGGCUUCCCUGAAGGUCCACCGUAGAAAAUGGAUUACUUUCUUUCUAGUUUAAUGGAGUCCAACAAGCCUCAGGAGUAACCAAGUAGGCAUUUUGGCUUUAAAUUUCACAAUGCCUCUCUAAGUAAAAUUUACUUUUAAGGAAUCUCUUUAAUAACUACUUUACAGCUCACUUGAACUUUGCUAUCAAGUGAAACUGUCAGUUAUUGUGCAGAAAAUACUGAUUAGGCUAAGUCAAUGAAAAUGUCUGUGGAAAUGUAGGCUUUGUAUUAAAAAACAGUCCACUGGAAAUAAUACUAAAGCAUUUCUAGGUCUUCCAGUUCUGUUAGUCACUGGAUGAGGCCCAGAUACCUGCCUGGAUUCCAGGAUAAAUUAAAAUACUUGUUUAAAUUUUCAGACAGAUUAUUAAUAUAUUAAUUAUAUUUUAUGAUUUUAUAUUUUAAAAGUAUCCUUUAAGCUAUAAAAGCAAAAAAAAUCCACAUCUCUCUGUAAGGCCUAAGUCACUGGGCUCCAUGUCAGGAGGGGAAAAACUGGGCAAGUUAGGGAGGGGAAAUUUUAUCCUAAGCUCAAGAAAGAGUCCUUCUGCUUUUCCCAGCAGCCUGAUACCCCAGCCCUCCACAAUACCACCCUGUCAUGCUUCACCACAGAACCCCCUGAAAAUGGAUAUAGGAUUUGGAUCUUGACAAACUUCUUUAGUGCUGGGUCACACAGGAAGAGGAUGGAGGCACCUCGAUGGCAUGAGUGUAGGAUAAGGCAGGUGGAGGUAGAUCCUCUCUUCUUCCAGUUUCUCUAAUGGCUGCCACUGACACAACUGAACUGUGGAUGGGAAAAGGAACUGCUGCUUCUUGGGGCAGAUGUUUGUGAGUUGGGGGUUGUUAUUUGUAGCAUGUCUCUGUGAAAGGGAUAGGCAGCAAAUAAAAGUUACAACACAGUGAAGAUGAUGCCUGUGUAUGUCAAAUACCCACAAUACCAAAACACUGGAAUAUCAAGCUGGAUGCCUAGGCUGUAAAAGGUUAGUGCUAAGAACAUAAGUUUAUGACUUGGUGCAAUGCAGUACUCUAAGAUGCAGUUUGUAGUUUUGCAAACUGAUAUGCAUAGGGAAGAACAAAGGAUUGCCUUUAAUGCUGUUUCACAUGAAGAAAAAUAUUUUUACAUCCAUUUCAAGUGUGCCUUUUGGUGUCUUUGUGUUUUACGAAAUAAGGCCUGAAAAAUAAUUCUUUCCCCUUGAAAAUCAGAAUAUCUUUUUCUGACUAGGUUUACAUAAAUCUACAAAGCCUUGACCUCUAUGGGAAACUGAGAUUCUCACAGCUCCACUUCUUUCCCCCCGUCGAAAAAUCUCAGCAACUGAGCAGGAACUCAUGACAAAUAUUUUGAGGAAAGCUGCAAUACCCUACCACGUCAAGAAAUCUCACUCUCCAGUUUCCUAGUUUUCUACUUAGUUCUGUGGCAAGAGGAGGAAAAAUUAAGGAUGCAAUGUGCAGGAUGUGCAGGUGUAAUUGCAAUUACCAGCAGCUCUGCCACUGCAGUACAUAAGUUCAGUUCACUGUGAACAUCGUCAGUGACUCCUCAUUUUGGGCUGCCAGAGAUGAAGUUGGUCAAAAUCCCACGUCACUUUUGAAAAUAAUCAAAAUAAAGGAAGCUUAGAAAGAUAAAACAAGAAAAAGAAAAAGAUUAGUUUCAGGAUUUCCUUGUUUAAUAAAUAAAGAAGGUACUAAUACAUUUUUCUGUUUCGUAAGUUACAGGUAAACCAUAUGCACACACUUCAAAGUUCAAACCCUAUGUUUUCACAGGCCAGUCAAAAACAAACCUCACCAAAACGAUUUGAGGUUGUUAUGCUCCCUGCUGUGAUUUCUUCAAGCCAGGCGCCUAGUGCAGAUCUCAUGAUACCAAAUUCCACGUACGCAUGUUGUAACCAUCAGCGGUGGGAUCAAACUGUAGGACCCAGAAAAGCGAGCACAUUGCAUGUUCAGUAAUGGGCUGUAUUAGGUUAUUGAUACUGAAGUCAGCAACACAUUUCCAAUUUGUCUUUUUCCUACAAAUAGGGUUUUUUGGGGGAGCCUGAAGUCUUUUCUUGCAUCUGCACACUCAAGUUGUGAAUUUCAGUAAACUACCUGCCCCUCUUCCUAGGCAGGAAUGGCAGGAAAAGCUGGGUCUCCCUUUGUUCGCUGGAGCUCUGGGAUCAUGAUGUGAGCCCAAAUCCUUGCUCAUCCUUAGUGGACUCAAGCCAGUACUUUCCUGGAGACUGUCCUGUCUCCAAGAGGGGGAACACUGCCCCUCUCUCCAGAUGAGGAAAGGUCACAGUGAUGGCUGAAAUGCAAUGCAGUUGAGCAUGAGCAGGAAGGCUGGAGAGGAGCUGUGAUUCUGUGGUCCAAGGUGGAGGCUGACCGUCAGUUUGAAGACUGCCUAGGCUAGGUGGGUACACACCGGAUCUUCAGGAACAUCACAUGGAGAUACCCACCACAUAGGCACAUCCCACAUUGGAACCAGACACAUCCUAGGCAGGCUUCCAGGACAUCUAUUGGAUCAGUCCGUGGGAGGCAUAGGCACAGUAUCCCUAGCCCAGUGACUCUCAGGUGACCUUGUGGAGGAUGGGUGUGUAGAAAGCCCACCCAAGAUGGUAGCCCAUCUUCAGGCACUCACAGUGUAUUUCUGCCUUCGAGGAACUGCAGUCCCACAGGUCAACCAGGUCUUAUAUGAUGCCUGAUAAAAAGUAAAUUACUUCCUAACACUAUCAAAAAAGCCUGAAAAAAAUGCACAUGCAAAUAGACUCAAAUACUUGAAAUUCAAAUUCCAACAGUAUAUUCUGUGUUCAUUGCUAUGUUAUUAUUACCAAACCCAUUUUCUUCUCAGAAAACAUAAACUUUCCUGCUUUAAGUUGUUGCAUGAUACAAAGCUAAUUCCAAAUGUGUUGAUCUUUUACUGUAUCUGUCCUGGGUUUAGUUUGUUCAAUUAUUUUUCAUAAAUGCAUUUUACAUCUAACUACCUCAGCUGCCUUUUGUUUUGUUUUGGCGCGUAUGAAGUCAUGCACUUUCUAUAUUCGGGGAUUUGGGGGGAGUUUUUUCCAUUUUGAAUAACCAGGUUCAAAGCCAUGUUGAUCAAUUUAUAGAGGAGAUCAAUUUAACAACAUAUACUUAUUGACAGCUGCAGAACAUACAUUUUAUUUUUAGGUUCUGUUGGAGUAUAGUUUAACAAAAAACACCAUAAGCUGCUUAUUAAUUUGCCUUAAAAAAUGUGUGCUCUUUCCUAUUCAAGUUGUGUUAUUUGACUCUUUUCUUGUACACAAUUUAUGUGGCAGAGAGUAACGUAACAGUUGGCAGAUAAACAGCAAAUUGAACAGAAUGGACCAAUAGUUUCUCAGUUCUCUGUUGAAAACUGUUGCAUUAUACACUGAUUGUGCUAAAAUAAUUGUUACUGUGCUUAUACUCCUUAGUCACCUUUGCAGAAAUGAAGUGACGAAGGAUCGUAUUUGUGUUUAUGGAACAGUGUAGAUAUCCCCCCAGUACAAGCACAGUGACUUGAGGUGAAUGAUAAUCAUUGCAGAACUUGUGCUUUGACUUGUAAACAUUGUAAAAAUGUAUUUGGUAUUUUAUUUGAAAUGAAGAAUCAAAAUAGUUAUUAAAAAAAAAGAAAGAAAUCUUCGUGUAAAUAUAUAUAUUCUGAAUCCAUGUAUACAAACAUUCCUUUAGAGUUCAGAUUGUGAAGAGUGUCUUUAUUGGCUAGAGACCACUGUCCCCCGUGGCAGAGGUUACAUGUGCUAUAGUAAAGAACACAGUGUGUGAAGUAUUUGAUGUACUGCAGUACCAUAGUUCUUUUGGUCUGUUAAGUAAGUUGCAAUUUGUGAUGAAAUGAAGUUGAAAGUAGUGCUUCAUACUAACAAAUUUCCUUGGUUACAACUUGAUUUUUCUUGUAAAACUUAAAAGGAAAACUUGAAAAUUUUAUAUAUUUGGAUUUUGUAGAUUUUUUUUAUUUUAUUGCAACACAAGGUACCAAAAUCAUUAAAUAAAGUACACUGUGGUCAUUUUA